This 253-nucleotide ribosomal RNA is filed under the name uncultured bacterium. RNAcentral describes it as "partial 16S ribosomal RNA". It matches the Rfam family "Bacterial small subunit ribosomal RNA", at positions 524 to 776 of the family's 1533-position model. The record is from RNAcentral.
UACGAAGGGUGCAAGCGUUAAUCGGAAUUACUGGGCGUAAAGGGUGCGUAGGCGGUUGUUUAAGUCUGUCGUGAAAUCCCCGGGCUCAACCUGGGAAUGGCGAUGGAUACUGGACAGCUAGAGUGUGUCAGAGGAUGGUGGAAUUCCCGGUGUAGCGGUGAAAUGCGUAGAGAUCGGGAGGAACAUCAGUGGCGAAGGCGGCCAUCUGGGACAACACUGACGCUGAAGCACGAAGGCGUGGGGAGCGAACAGG